GGACUACUAGGGUAUCUAAUCCCGUUUGCUCCCCUAGCUUUCGCGCCUCAGCGUCAGAAGAGGUCCAGCCCGUCGCUUUCGCCACCGGCGUUCCUUCCGAUAUCAACGCAUUUCACCGCUCCACCGGAAGUUCCACAGGCCCCUACCUCCCUCGAGGUAGCCAGUAUCCGAGGCAGUUUUCCGGUUGAGCCGAAAGAUUUCACCCCAGACUUGGCCACCCGCCUACGCGCCCUUUAAGCCCAGUGAUUCCGAACAACGUUCGCACGGUUCGUCUUACCGCGGCGGCUGGCAC
RNAcentral lists this ribosomal RNA (292 nucleotides) under uncultured Planctomycetota bacterium. RNAcentral's name for it is "uncultured planctomycete partial 16S ribosomal RNA". Lineage: Bacteria; Pseudomonadati; Planctomycetota. The record is from RNAcentral.